Molecule: non-coding RNA, 25 nt
Filed under: Mus musculus (house mouse)
Lineage: Eukaryota; Metazoa; Chordata; Mammalia; Rodentia; Muridae
Source: RNAcentral
UGAGAUAAGUGGGAGAAUCCAGAGG